GGCCUCCUGGUGCUUAUCACAGGCUGUGUUCUUAUACUGACUGUAUAGAAAGAGGACGCAGAGUAAACCUAUCCCAUACAUGCCUCAGCCCAGACUCCGUGCCUUAUCUGUAUUAUGAAUGGGGGGACAUGG
Small nucleolar RNA from Cynocephalus volans (Philippine flying lemur), 132 nucleotides. RefSeq annotates it as small nucleolar RNA SNORA51. NCBI's taxonomy places the organism in Eukaryota, Metazoa, Chordata, Mammalia, Dermoptera, Cynocephalidae. The transcript has a single exon. The record is from RefSeq and is a predicted model, not a curated record.